RNAcentral lists this ribosomal RNA (497 nucleotides) under uncultured bacterium. RNAcentral describes it as "partial 16S ribosomal RNA". It matches the Rfam family "Bacterial small subunit ribosomal RNA", at positions 28 to 507 of the family's 1533-position model. The record is from RNAcentral.
GAUGAACGCUGGCGGCGUGCCUAAUACAUGCAAGUCGAGCGAACGGACGAGAAGCUUGCUUCUCUGAUGUUAGCGGCGGACGGGUGAGUAACACGUGGAUAACCUACCUAUAAGACUGGGAUAACUUCGGGAAACCGGAGCUAAUACCGGAUAAUAUUUUGAACCGCAUGGUUCAAAAGUGAAAGACGGUCUUGCUGUCACUUAUAGAUGGAUCCGCGCUGCAUUAGCCAGUUGGUAAGGUAACGGCUUACCAAGGCAACGAUGCAUAGCCGACCUGAGAGGGUGAUCGGCCACACUGGAACUGAGACACGGUCCAGACUCCUACGGGAGGCAGCAGUAGGGAAUCUUCCGCAAUGGGCGAAAGCCUGACGGAGCAACGCCGCGUGAGUGAUGAAGGUCUUCGGAUCGUAAAACUCUGUUAUUAGGGAAGAACAUAUGUGUAAGUAACUGUGCACAUCUUGACGGUACCUAGUCAGAAAGCCACGGCUAACUACGUG